GAUGAACGCUGGCGGCGUGCCUAAUACAUGCAAGUCGAGCGAACGGACGAGAAGCUUGCUUCUCUGAUGUUAGCGCCGGACGGGUGAGUAACACGUGGAUAACCUACCUAUAAGACUGGGAUAACUUCGGGAAACCGGAGCUAAUACCGGAUGAUAUUUUGAACCGCAUGGUUCAAAAGUGAAAGACGGUCUUGCUGUCACUUAUAGAUGGAUCCGCGCUGCAUUAGCUAGUUGGUAAGGUAAUGGCUUACCAAGGCAACGAUGCAUAGCCGACCUGAGAGGGUGAUCGGCCACACUGGAACUGAGACACGGUCCAGACUCAUACGGGAGGCAGCAGUGGGGAAUCUUCCGCAAUGGGCGAAAGCCUGACGGAGCAACGCCGCGGGAGUGAUGAAGGUCUUCGGAUCGUAAAACUCUGUUAUUAGGGAAGAACAUAUGUGUAAGUAACUGUGCACAUCUUGACGGUACCUAAGCAGAAAGCCACGGCUAACUACGG
This 496-nucleotide ribosomal RNA is filed under the name uncultured bacterium. Its description in RNAcentral is "partial 16S ribosomal RNA". It matches the Rfam family "Bacterial small subunit ribosomal RNA", at positions 28 to 506 of the family's 1533-position model. The record is from RNAcentral.